Molecule: ribosomal RNA, 253 nt
Filed under: uncultured bacterium
Lineage: Bacteria
Description: partial 16S ribosomal RNA
Rfam family: Bacterial small subunit ribosomal RNA
Source: RNAcentral
UACGGAGGAUCCGAGCGUUAUCCGGAUUUACUGGGUUUAAAGGGUGCGUAGGCGGGCGCCUAAGUCAGCGGUGAAAUACGGGGGCUCAACCUUCGAACGGCCGUUGAUACUGGGCGCCUUGGAUUCGGUCGAGGCGGGCGGAAUGCGUGGUGUAGCGGUGAAAUGCUUAGAUAUCACGCAGAACGCCGAUUGCGAAGGCAGCUCGCCAGGCCGACAUUGACGCUGAGGCACGAAAGCGUGGGGAUCAAACAGG